RNAcentral lists this ribosomal RNA (490 nucleotides) under uncultured bacterium. RNAcentral's name for it is "partial 16S ribosomal RNA". It matches the Rfam family "Bacterial small subunit ribosomal RNA", at positions 28 to 507 of the family's 1533-position model. The record is from RNAcentral.
GAUGAACGCUAGCUACAGGCUUAACACAUGCAAGUCGCGGGGCAGCAUGGGGAUUGCUUGCAAUCCCCGAUGGCGACCGGCGCACGGGUGAGUAACGCGUAUUCAACCUGCCCUUCACCACGGGAUAACCCGGCGAAAGUCGGACUAAUACCGUAUGUUGUCCAUUGACUGCAUCCGAUUUGGACGAAAGGCUUGGCGGUGAGGGAUGGGGAUGCGUCCGAUUAGCCAGACGGCGGGGUAACGGCCCACCGUGGCUACGAUCGGUAGGGGUUCUGAGAGGAAGGUCCCCCACACUGGAACUGAGACACGGUCCAGACUCCUACGGGAGGCAGCAGUGAGGAAUAUUGGUCAAUGGGAGUAAGCCUGAACCAGCCAAGUAGCGUGCAGGAUGACGGCCCUAUGGGUUGUAAACUGCUUUUAUGCGGGGAUAAAGUGGCCCACGUGUGGGCUUUUGCAGGUACCGCAUGAAUAAGGACCGGCUAAUUCCGUG